This is a long non-coding RNA of Poecilia reticulata (guppy), 325 nucleotides long. RefSeq lists it as uncharacterized. The record is from RefSeq and is a predicted model, not a curated record. Lineage: Eukaryota; Metazoa; Chordata; Actinopteri; Cyprinodontiformes; Poeciliidae.
AGUUCCCUCCGUUUUCGUGCCUUCCUGGCAUUCGUGCAUUCAACCAGUAUAGGCUGCGUGGUGACGUCAGGACAUUCUGCAAAGGGAUGGGUGUCUGUCCACAGCACCUCAGUGGAAACUUGGCCACGAGCCAAAAGCUGCCCAUGAAGGCCAGUAAACACUCUGUGAUGGAUCUCCUUCUCUGCACUCAUGUGCCAAACACAAUGUAAACUUGUUUCAGUCACUUCAUUCAGUCACUCACUCUUUUUUUCCCCUUCUGUUGCACAUGAUUUCAACUUGAGUUGCACUGCAUCUAAUGUACAGUACAAAUAUACCAUUUAAUGAC